UUGGUGCAUGGUAUUCAUAGACUAUGAAGCAAAAAUGGAUGGAACUGACAGGGUCAAACUCAAAGUAUAUCUGGAAUCACGAAGGAAGCUUCCCAGAGAGAAGCCAUAGUCAUAUCAAUUCUUGGUGCACAAACUGAAAUGUCACUAGUUCUUGCACCCAAAACCACUAGUUUUCCAGACAUAACAAGUCAUAACAAUAUGAUGGAGAUCCUACAUAUAUAUCAACCAAAUAAUCCAAAAUCUAACAUUUAAAUAAUUAAUAAAUCAGAUCAAGUUUUUAUGCAAAUAAAUAUACCAGGAAAGAAUUUUGUCAGAGAACACUUCCACAAGACUGAAAGAUCCAUAAGCUGCAAAUUUCAAAAAACAUGAGUUUAAUUAUCAGUUACCAGAAAGGGUUGGAGGCCUAGACAACAACAAGUACAUAAUAAAGAGAAUGCCAUGUAUUUCUGUCAGGAAAUAACUGUUUUUCUGUCUGAGUACAUAAACAACAAGCAGCACUUUUGCAACUGUUUGCUGAAAUAUUAAAUUGGGUACAAGAAAGUUGAAGGUAAAAUCUUCAUAACAUUAUGAAAAACAAGAGCUCCUUAAAAAUAUUUGGCCUUGAUGCCUUCUUGAUGACAUGAAGGUAUAGAUUGUAUUACACAUGCACUAUUUAAUGAUAAUCAGUGCUAUUCACAUGCCAAGAAUUCAACAAAUGAGUGGAUGAAGCAAAUCGAGGUUGAUUGCCUCUUCAUCCACCAUCACAAUACAACCAAUCAAGGUUUAAACUACCUGUAUGUUACCAGUAUAGUAAGGUCCCAUACAUUACAAAGUUCGCCUGCCAGUUCCAGCAUAGCAGAACUGGGAUGUCAUACCAUGUGUCAGUAUAGUACAAUACUAAGGCACAUACUAAUGCUAAUAACUUACUACUAUGGAACCGCAUAACUGAUGUGGAUCGGUGCAUCAGUAGUUCAAUCCAAAGCUACCAACACAUUUGACUGCAUUAAUCUUUCAUGCGCUAUAUUGCUUGUGCUUCUCUUCAAAUUUUUCUUGUGAUCCUAUUUACCUCUUGGAUUGAUACCUUUCAUCUACAUAAUUGGCUGUUCCCAUGUUAUCAAAGGCAACUGAAAAUCUAUCUAGUCAUGUAGGGAAAUGGCAUCAAUUCUAAAAUCUGCUUUGUUUGUGAGAAGACCAUGAUCACAAGAUUCCCUUCUACACAGGAUAUAGAAAAAACAAGCCUUUACAUACAAGAUGAUUAAUGUUUAAUGAAACUUGUGAGACAAAACAUCACGAAAGAAGAAUAGCCAAAGUUUCCCACAAAUAAAUCUCCUUUAUGUAAUCAGGUAGCUCGGACAAAAGGUUACACUUAACUGGGUUGUUAAGAAUCCACGGAUUCAGGCACCUUUCCUCAGUCCUUUCCCAUGAUUCAACAUUUACAAGUUAGAUUUUAAGCAGACAAAAUUAAUGAAACCAUGGACAAAAUGGAUAUCUGGUACAUAAUCCUAUUUGACCUAGCAUUGUAAAUCUCUUAUAGUAAUAGUCUUGGUACCGCUAGGCCAAAAAUCACUAAAGUAGGUGCUGAAUCAAAAGAAGAAGAAGAAAAACACGCAGAGGAAUACAUAAGGUGAUGAUUACAGGUCAUUUCUUACUUGGUCAUAAAUAUGGUGUGUCAAAUAGGUAAUAUAAAGAAAACUAGAACUAUAUUAUAUAUUUUUUUCAUUGAUCCCUUAAAGGCAAUUAUUGCGACAACAAAAAGGACUGUUUGCACCGUACAUCUUUUAGCGUAGAGAGAGAGAGAGAGGGAGUACAACGAGAGAGAAGGAUCACCAUUUUGAAUUAUGAACCAACAUACAACCAUUGUCAUCACUAACCUGCCCAAUACAAGAGCCACUUUUCUUGCUCAUUCCGGUCUUUCUUCUCUAUAGCCUUGAACGUAGAGUAAAUGGGCAAACCGAUCCCUACUGUACAGCUGCACAAACGAAAAGCAAGUGAUAUAAAAACAUGAGAUAUCAAAGAUAGUGUUUUCACGGCUUAUGUUUGACAAUUCAAAAAUCUUUUGACCAGUAAAGAGCAAUACAAGCAGUUCUAUUGCAUAUACAAUAAACAUCAAGCAAUUUAAUGGGUCAUGUUUCUUGGUCAAACAGUUAAUUUUUUUACAUGCAAAGCACAACCUCUACAUGCCAAAUAUAAUUUUAAAAAAUGACACUAAAGCUCACCAAGCUGUUCUAAUAACAAUGUUAGAACCAAUCGGGCAAAGCAGCAAGCGCAAUCCAACCUGCAAGUUAUAUAAGAUUCGUGAACAUGGAAUUCGAUCUAAAAAUCAAGCCGAUGCAAUAUAUUUUCAUAAGCGACACAUAUACUUGAAAAAAAACUAUUAGCUCGAAAGCAACAAUCCGAAUAUUGUUCGUAGUCGUCUAAGAUCUGGAAGGAGUUAUCAUAUAAGCAGGCAGCACAAAUCCAAAUAAAUAAGCAUUUAUUCAUACAAACAGAUAAAGAACCUCAAUUACCCUUUAUCUCUUCUUAAUUUAGAGCAUUUACAAGUUUCUGAGGUUGCUUUCCUUCCUGCCAACUAUUCUCCACACUUCACAGCAGGUCUCUAUCUUGCUCAAUGCCUAUCUACAGGCUCAUAACCAAAUUUUAGAGCCUUCAAUCCAAGUCAGGAGUAAGCCAUAGAAAGCUCUCAAACUUUGAUGGAUCGUACUUUGAUCCUUUAAUUUGAAUGUUUAGACGAGAAGGAUUGCACAAUAAGAUUAAAAUAUAGAGACUGACGGCCAGAUCAAAGUAAACCAAUACCACCAAAAACCAUUGGACUUGGUUUGAAGAUGUCCACAAAUAAUAAAAGUGUUCUUCAUAAACUAAUAUUAUAUUAUCUCCCUCUCUCUUUAUAUAAUUGGAUAAGUGUAGCAAAGCAGUUGAAAACACCUGAUAAAAAAGCUUCACAGACAGAAAAAAGGGCAUAUCCACUUACCACAGCCUAUUCUACAAAAUCCCAACUGAAACAAACAUGAUCGAUCAUCAUGGAAAGGUCAGACAAAUGCAGGCCAUGAAUUGACCUUCCUAAACAAGAGCUCAAUUCAUGACUCGAAAUAAUUUAAAAAAUCAUUCAUGAUUCUCGUCUUAAGGUUAACUAUAUAUAGGAUUAUAAUCCCUCCUCUCUACAUCUUUCAUCAUCACUUUUGUGAGACUCCAUCAACUCAUGAUCUCCUCAAAAUCAUAAACAGAAGCGUAUACUUGAACCAUCAUCAUUUAAGGAUCACCGAAUAAGAUUAUAAGACAAGUCAACAACCCUUAGUACCAAUUGUUCCUUCUUUCACACGGAUAAGCAUGACAGAAGUUGAGGUAUGAGCUUCUGAAAUAAUCCUCCGUAAGAAAAUUCCUCAAGACUUUCACUAUGUGUGAUUGAAAAGAUAUUUUAGCUCAUGUGAACUUGGGCCUGGCUUUCAUUCAUUUCAAGGACACUUCUAUACUCUUCCUUACAAACUAUUUCAAUUUUCAAUCCAUGAAUCAGAUUCAGAGCUAACCACAUCGCUAAAAGAUUCAAGUUUUGGAACAUAAACAUCAGGGAAAAGCAGACUAAGUUGUCUCUAAACUUCCGUUUUCUGCCCCUAUUCAUUUUUUAUACUCCAUUAUCUCUCAGAAAUUUAAUUUCACUUUCAAUCUCCAGUCCGUGUUCUAUGUUCUCAUCAAGAGGAUGGGAAAGGUACUGUUUCGAACUUUCGUUCGUUCAAGUUAUGUAACGUUCUUCAGAAGCAUCAACUGACUCUCAAUUUCCAACCAUCAAGUGCAGAUUCAUGUUGUAAAAAUCAUGAACUUGAUCCAUAUACAAACCAAGAAUUAUCAAUAAACACUUCAAACAUCUCACAUUAAAAACAUUUUUUUCUUUUUUUUCCAAACUUUACAAAUUCUUCAUGAAAAUAACAUAUGAUCUAUAGAACUGGCCAAGAAUUAUCCAAUAACAAAACCUCCGGUGGACUUCAACUUCAUCCAACAUUACUGCAGUAAUUUUGGAUGCAUAUGCGAGUUCAGGAUCAUAUAAAAAAUAUGAAACCCCUUCCACAUAUCGGUUUCCGUCGCCCAAAUAACAAUAAAAAGCCCAUAAUUAUCAUACGUUACAGAGAGGGGGAAUUAGGGAUUUGGAACCUCGCUGGGGAUGGCGGAUCCGAGGAACGCCAUUGGUAUGAAUCGCCGGCGAGAAGGAGAAGAUAGGAGAGGCGAGAAAUUUCUCGACGGUGUAUCAACUCCUCAGAGAGCCCUCGUCGUCUUCUUUUUUCUUGGAGGAGAAAGGAAAGACCUCGGCGAAGCAACUGCGAAGGCGAAGGCGAAGGCGAAGGCAGAGGCGUUUCAAGGAGGAGGUGAAAGAACCGACCGGAUUUCAAACGGGUCGGGUCCGCAGUAGUUUGCACCAGGGUCGGUUGCCGAUUUCGUAUGGUGCUUGAAACGAAUUUAGAAAAUCUGAAGGACUUGCAAACCUUUCCAUCAGUUUAUAACGUUGAAGAUAAUAUAAUUGCUAUUUUUGAACAAUAAUAUAGAUUGUGGCUCUAGCAUAAAACAUCCCAACUAUACAUCAUAAAAUUAAGCAUAUUAGCCAUAAAAGGUAUAGCAUCCAAUAUCAAAAUUCAUAUCUAACCAAAAACAUAAAUUAUCCGAUUCGAUUACUAAGAUUUCAAAAUCUCUGAACAACUAAUACAAGAUAAAAUUUUACUAGAACUUAAAUUUAAUAGGCACUCUAUCUGACAAGCAACCUGUUGUCCAUGAGAGUUUUGAGUAUUUUAUUUCAAAAUCUCUGAAUAGCUAAUACAAGUUAAAAUUCUACUAGAACUUACAUUUAACAGCUAUUGAGCUACUCCAUCUGACAAGCAACCUAUUGUUCAUGAGAACUCUGAAUAUUUAAAAUAGUAAAAGAAAGAAUGUGAGCUUGAUGACAUGUAUCUCACCAUAUGCACAUACACAAUGUAACCUUGAGAUAGGCAUUACAUGUGAAAGCAAACUAUGAUACAAACACAAAGAAAAUAAAAAUGUAAUUGACAUAAACUACUCAUGCCAUAUAUACAAGUAAUUAAAUAUUCUCAUCAAUGUCCCAAUAUAAUCACAAUUAUUAUUGCAUAUUAUAUAGGCAGAGUUCGUAAUUUUAUCACGUGUUCAUUUUUAAAUUAUAAAAUUGUAAUAUUAUUCCUCAAUUCCAUGGCAUAGUUUCAAACUAAUAGAAGAAUUCAGAAUUUCUCAAUAAAGGGAACAAGUAACUUCUUACUUUGGACCAAACCAUGGUCACGUUUGUGGCUCAUGAUGGGCUAUCAAUGCGGUCACAUUUUUUGCUACCAAUAGGCAUCAAUAUAAAUAUAUUUUUUGUUUGAUAAAUUGUGACUUGAUAUAUAUCUUUACCAGUGGAGCCUAUUUUAAUGGGUAAUAUCUCACUCAUUUAAGGUCUAAAAUUAAUCAAAUUUGUGCUCGUUUCAAAACUUUUGAGGUCUACUUUUUGCGGAAGCUCAAAGGGGCAGUAUCGUUGAAUGUUUUAUUAAGUACUUCGACCGCUAAUAAUUUCUUAAUGAUCCUUAUAAACACAUCAAUAAGCAUGCAUCCAAAUAGCAACUAUACACAUAAUAUAAAUAAAAUAUAAGCUUGGUGACAUGCUGGGUGUUAUAUUGGAGCAUGUUCUCUUCCAUCUACCAAGUCCACAUAUUUCAACACCCCCUCCCCCCCCCCCCCCCCAACCCACACACACACACUUCCCUCGCACUCCUUUUUUGUUUGUCUCUCCAAGCAAAAUAAUUAGUCAAUAAUUUUGUCAACUUUAAACAGUUGAGGAGUAUUCAUUUCAACCAAUCAAAUCUAUGUCCAAUUUUUUCUUUGAUUCCUCUUUUUGAAUGUGACUCUUUAGUUAGCUUUAUUCUUUUUAUACGUUCGCUUUAUCUAUCUUAAUCGCUACUACUUGUUUUAACUAACCGUUACAUGUCGAAUUUCUAGAAAAAAGAUUUGACAAUUUUAAAAAUAAUGAUAGAUCAUCCUAAUUAAAGAUUGAUAUUGUUCAAUAUAAUCUACACUAUAAAUAAUGCAUACAAACUAAAAUUCAUAUAUUUUGGUAAUCUCUAACCUAUGAACAAAGAAAUACAUAAAUGAAUAAUAUUAAUUGCACAAGUAUACUAAAACAAAUAAUACAAUAUACAAAAUAAAAAUCAAUUUCUUUGAUCAUAGUUUGCAUGUCUUAAAAUAUAAUAGAUUUAAAUUCACAAAGUUUGCAUGAUCAAAUCAUGAUAAAAUAUGAAACCUUUAUUUUUGCACCAAUACGAUCAUGAAGUUAGAGACUAUCAAAAUAUAUUAAUUUUUAUUUUUAUUUUUAAGUAUAAAUUAUUUUUAAUAAUUUACUUUUUUAAUUUAAGUAAUUCAUUAUUUUUUAAAUUAUUAUUUAAAAAAUUAUUAUAAAGUAUAUAGCCUAACUUUAUACUUGUAUUUUAGUCAUAACUUAUUUCUUUUUAUUUGUUUUCCGCCGGCCGGUUGAUCCAACGGUUGGACCGGUGAUCGUCCCCUUGGCCGUUCCAUAUCCGGUUGGACUCGAAUAAGGAGGAAUUGUCGUCAUCCAUUGUAAGCCGAAAGUCCCCUCUCUCUCUUAACACUUCGGUCUCCAGAAAAAAAAAACCCUAGCAGUGGUUCCGAUCAUGGCGAGGCUGGCGGCCAUCUUCUUGGCCGUGAUCUUCCUCUUCCCUGUCCUCUGCCUCUCGUUCUCCGCCGACAAUCCCACCGACCGGCGUCUUCUCGUUCUGGUGGACGACCUCGCCGUGCGAUCAUCGCACUCCGUCUUCUUCAAGUCCCUCCAGACCCGAGGCUUCGAUCUCGACUUCAAGCUCGCCGACGAUCCCAAGCUAUCGCUCCAGCGAUACGGCCAGUACCUUUACGAUGGCCUCAUCGUCUUCUCCCCAUCCAUACAGCGUAAAUAAUUUCUCAUCCCCAGAUCUCGCGAUUCCUUCAUAGAGUCAAUAUUGAUUUUUUUUUCCUGUUCUUUUUUUUUUUAAGGUUUUGGAGGUUCGUUGGACCAAAACGCGGUUCUAGAAUUCGUGGACGCAGGGCACGAUUUGAUACUGGCGGCGGAUUCGUCUGCCUCUGAUCUGAUCCGGGGCAUCGCCACAGAGUGUGGUGUUGACUUUGAUGAGGCAAGUUGACUUCUUCUUUCAUUUGGUUGUGCUUAAAACUUUCUUGUUUAAAAAAAAACAUUAAUUUCUUAGAUUGUUUCAGGAUUCCGCGGCGAUGGUUAUUGAUCACACGAGCUAUGCGGUAUCGGAGAUGGAAGGGGAUCAUACCCUGAUCACCAGUGAUGAUCUCGUUCAGUCGGAUGUGAUUUUGGGUGACAGAAAAAUCGAGGUGAGCGGCUAUUGCCUUUUUUUAAUUUUUCAUUGUGUGUUCUGAGUAACUCCUUUUUUGAAUUUUUCUGUUUUUUAUAUUAGUACUCUAUUAUUAAGAAUAUUUAAAACUACCCCGUUUCCAUCACUAAUCAAGUAGCGAGAAGAAAACCAGCUGCAAAAUGUUUGUUUACCUUGCAUUGAGCAGGUGGCUGUCUAAUUGAUUUGAUUCGGGCGAUUGUAAUAAUACAAAAAUAAAAGAAACUAGCAUGAUCCCAUUUGAUCUAGGUUAGCUCUGGGCAUCAUUUCAAGUGUUGCUUGCCACUGUUCUGAAAACAGGUCUAUGCUGCUGGAGAUGCGGCCAUGUUGCCUAUGCAGUCUGCUGGCUAUACGGCAUAGGGCUCAGGCAGCCCUAAUAUGGAGAGGGGCCGCACAAUGGAUGCCCAGGAGGCAAGAUAAGCCCUAGCACAUGCAGCAUGUCUCAGUUGAUCAGGUAGGGCAAGUUGUCUUGGACAAGGUUGAAUGCUGAAUUGGAAUUCUGAAGGAAAGUAUCUUAGGAUUAAAGAUCUAAAAUGACUAAGAUUGAAAUAAAGUAUACAGUACUCAAUUUGUAUGGACAUGUAAAUGAAUCUGGUAACCCAAUCAGAAUGAGCGGCUAAUGGAUACUAGAGUUUUGGUGCCUUGAAGCUAUAACAUAGAACAAUGGAGAUCUAUGGUAUGAAACAAUGUAGACGUAAAUGAAUACCCGGGCCAUGGCAACUUAACAGAAAACUGAUAUUAUGUUGAUGAAAUCUGAUAAUAGAAGCAAAGAAAAGAAGAGAAACAAAGAAAGAAAAAGGAAGGAAGGAAAAGAAGGAGAAACAAGAAAGAGGAAAAGAGAGGGGGGAUGCUAGAGAAAGAGAGAAGAAACAGAGAGUGGAUAGGAGAGAUGAAGAUAUGCUGGUAGAGGGUUCAUUCUACAACUAUACUCGUAGAUUUAAUUCACAGAAAUGCAACGAUUAUUAGUGUGAUUCCCUUCAUCUCUUUAUUAAACAACUCAAAGCUUCAUGGAAGUACCCAAAGUGCCCCUAUCGUGUGACUUAACCCAGUUAACUACUUUUGAAAAAUUUCAUCAAGAAAUAGUUACUGAAAUAACCUUGCUGUUUAACUUAGAUGACUCCAAAAGGCAACCUGACCUAUGCACCAUAUGUGUCUCAUUUACGUUGGCUUUGUGGCAAGAAAAAUACAGUGAGAAAUGAGUUUAUGGGAGAAAUGUUAAAGUGGUACCAAUUGAGGACAAAGUACUAGAGAAGCAGUCAAUGUAAUAUGCAGGUGCCACGAAGAUUUGAAGAAGCUCUUAUUGGAAGAGAUGCUCAAAUCUAUGCGCAAGAUCCUAAAAUUAGGAGGGGAAAACUUAAAGCUAGGAUGCAUUUAAUCUCGUUACUUUCAUUAUAGAACAAUAUGACACUACCUACCUAGUUGCUAACAUGCAGUCUAGGUUUCAAGGUCAAAGGUGGCAGCCAUUUACUCUUAUUUAUAGGUGACAUGGGUACAAACUGCAUUAUAAUUUGAUAAGCGAGAACUCUUUUGGUUUUUACAUAUUCUUUUAUCUCCUGAGAGACCUCCAGGAUGAUUUGUUGACCAUGUACCCUUUUUAUUUGUUUUGUUUAAGCAUCACAUCACUGUUCAAUUUUUUUUGUUCUCUAUUUCUGAUUGUUCAGAAUAAACUUUGCACAGGCUCCUAUACUCUUUCGUGGAAUUGGUCAUUCAGUUAAUCCUGCUAAUAGCCUGGUAAGUUCUUUUGUUUAUAUAUCUUGAUUACUGAAAAAGUCAUAUAAAAUUUUAUUGGCUGAUUUGCUUGUUUAGCUUCAUAUGUUUGAUUUCAACACCUUGCGUCUUAUUUAAUGAUGCUAUAUUCUUUUUUCAUGAUUUUUGUACUGCUUUAUAGGUUUUGAAAGUUCUCUCUGCCUCACCUUCAGCAUAUUCGGCAAAUCCAAAGAGCAAGUUAUCAAGCCCUCCCUCACUCACAGGCUCUGCUAUAUCAUUGGUUUCAAUAGUGCAGGUUGUUUAAUGUAAUGAUAUUUUUUUUAACCUGUCAAUUGCUUGCUCUGUGUUUGUUUUUAUACUGACACUGCAUGAUAGUGUGAAUCAAAUGUUGCAUUCUUCUCCUCAUCUUCAUGUUCUCGUUGUUAUGAAGACACUCAUUCUAAUCUGCUCUUUUAUCACUCUUGAAAAUCCCCUUACAGCUCUGGUGGUUAAAAGUCAGAACAUUCUCAUUUGUUACCAGCAAGUAAAUUUACCUAAGCAAACCUCAUUUUCAUCAAUUAGUACAAUUUCGCAUGUAUUUCAUUGAAAGAAUUACAGAUUUCUAACUUGAUGUUUGAUUUUUCUUGUCUUGAUUUUCAUACCUACUGAACCUAUUAUAGGUUUUAGCUUGUGCAAUAUUGUAUAGAUAUUGCAGCGGAUGCUUCCUCGCUUACUUGGACUUGUGUUGUAAUUAUCCGAUCAUGCUUGACUUAAACCUGGUGUCAAUUGAAGAGUUUCCUUUUGUUUAUAAUUUGUGGAGUUUGAGCACCAGUCUGAUAGCCUCUUAAAAUUGAUUGAGCUAGAUGAGAUAAAAUGGAUGCUGAAGUUUAGUAUUAUCCUUUGAGAGAUGGAUACCAAUUGUUUGGACUUUGACUUGCAAAAUUACCUUCGAUCCCAAAAGCAAUCAGGAAAAUAAUUUUUUAAGCCAGACUUUACUUUUAGGGACUGAAAAACAGAUCAAAGCCUGCUCAAAAUGACGUAACCACGAAUGCCUGUCUGACCAUGUCACUUGACCCAUUCAUAGCCCCAAUAUAAGACAUUAUCUACUGAUUACUAUUUCAAAGAUGGUAUUUUGAGUCGAAACUCUAAAAUAUUUUUAUAACUGAAUGUCUUUUGCAUUUCGAUACAGCUUUUGGUUUCUUAAUUACUUCUGACGAUGUUGCCUUAUGUCCCAUAUUUUUAAGUUUUGUCCCCAUGAAUUCUUAGGAAAAUCAUAUCAUAUCACCGUUAAUCAUAUGUUUUUGGCUAUUAUGCAGGCAAGAAAUAAUGCUCGUAUAUUGAUCUCUGGAUCUCUGGACCUCUUUAGCAACAGGUACAUAACAAUAUCCCAUGAUUUUUGGAUUUCCUUCUGUGUCAGUUCACUGAUGUUAACUUUAUUGUUCAUUAGAUUUUUAAGAUCUGGUGUGCAGAAGGCUGGGAGCUCAACUAAGUAUGUAACUUUCUCUGUAUUCAUCCUUUGCAUUGUUCUACUUUUUGUUGUAUAGUUUAAGUAGUCAUGUUGUUCCUUUUUUUGAUUGUCUUUUGUAAGUUACCAAUAUCCAAAAAAAUGCCACUAAAUGUGAGGCUUGACAUUUAUACAGCUGUGGGUGCUUCAAUUAUUUCAACUAUGGAAACGUUUCUAAAUUGUCUCACCAAAAUGAGUCCUUGCAACUUCCAAUUGCCACUUAUUUCUAUUUCUCGAUUUGUUUCAUUUAUGCUGUGCUAGCCAACAUGGAGAAUUCUUAUUUAGCUUUUUUUGUUUGUUGGCCAUAAAACAACUUGUUGUUUGCACUUCUAUGACUAUUGAUUGCUUCAUUUCUUUGGUUUUGGCAGGAUGUAUGAUUUCUUGUGCAAAUGGUUAGUGAUUUACAAUAUGGCUGAGUGCUUAAUGACCUAUUAUCACAUGGCCAAAAACAUAUUGGAACUGCUAUUAGCUGCUAAUGACUGUUGUUUGUAUGUAAAUUACCUAAGCUCUGAAGCACAAUAGUCAGGAGAUGCCAAUAAUAAUCAAAAUUAGGAAGUAGUAAGGUUAUAGGGCCAUGUAAUAUGGAUCGAGCAAGAAUGUUACAAGGUUUUGAAUUUAUAUUAAGAGAAACAAGGAUUGACAAAAGAAAGGAUGCUUUAUAAGUAUAAUGAACUAGGCAUCUAUGUGUAUAUAUAUUUAUUCAAACAACCGCUAGGGGGGGUGCCUCUGAGGUAGUUAGCUCACAAUAGUAUGGAGAAUGUUAAGACCUAAGUACAAAUAAACUUCUGAAAGACUAGCCAUAUAGAAGAAGUUUAAUCAUUUGUGAAACUAUAAAGAGAUUUGCUUGCAAUGAUCAUAUCAUGAAGGAUAUGUCAUGAGAUGAAAAGUAUAUGUGAACACUAAUUGUUUAAAUCCUUCGAAAAGAAAAAAGUAAAAACCACCAUAUUCCCUAUAAAUACAGGGUCUUGUAAGCAAAGUUUUCUGUUGUCAAACUCCAUGUUACAUUGCCAAAUGCUGGAUAAAUAAUCAGUAUUAAGCAAUAUCGAAGCCUCUUCCACCUCUUACGAGAAAAAGCAGCUUUUGCCAUAUCCAAUUUAUCUCAUUAUGAUAAAACUCCAAAUGGGAUCAAAAAGCAAGUGGGGUUGGAGGUGGGGGUUGGGGCGGCUCUCACUGUAUAUGUAUGUUUAUGUCAAUUGUAUAUAUUUUUGAAUGUGUGCAUGUAUAUUUAUGUAAGUUAAGCUUAAUUGAGUAGAAAAUAAGCUGCAUAUGAAGACAAAUUUCCAAGAUUGAAUUAUUAAUUGUUAUGCACUAUUUCUGUGCUUAAUUCUGAUUCAUCUACUUCAAGCUUUUGAGAAGAGUAGGGUGACUGGUGGAGUCUGUUUCUUAUGAUUUUCGAGAGGGAGAAAGGUUAGCGCUCGUCUUGUUAUUUCGAGGAGGGUGUAGGCGUUAAACAAACUUUAUGGUGUUAAAAGUAGAUACUGGUGGUGAAGUGCUGCUGUCUGUAUGUGUGUGUUUUGUUUUCUUUUUUUGGAGGGGGAGGGAGGGAGGCUGUAUAAACUGGUAUAGGAGAUUUUCUUUUCCUUUUUUCUUUUUCCUUUUUUUUCUUUUGGUUGGGGGGGGGGAGGGUCAUUUUGUAGAUAAGCUAGAGUUCAUAAGCGAACAAAAGGGCUUGAAGUGUACUGUGGAAGGAGAUUUGUCAGAUACUGUUAGGUGUAAGAGGAUUAUUGCAGUGUGAGCCUUGCUAAUUGCUAUGCUAAAACUUGAAGCAAUAACUAGUUCAGAGAAAAUUCAGGUUGGGAGAGGGGAAGCAAAUUUCUCAAAUUCUAGGGUAAAGAAUCAUCUACAAAGCAAAUGCUACUGCAAAUCUGAAGAAAUUUUAAAGCAGCAUUUAGAUGAUUCCCAUUGCCAAGUUUAAAACACAAGGGUGGAAUAGAACGAUAACAGACUAGGGCCUUAGAGGAUAUCUAGCUAGAAUUACCUAUUUUAUGGAGCCAAUCAUAUGUUGGAAAUACCAAAAAGUUCGUGGACAGGGUGACAUUGUUUCAGAAAGAAGAUUAUUGAUUCACUUUACGGACAUUAAAAUAUGAUAAAAAUUAUGAAGCUAUUGGAAGAGAAGUGUGUCGGAACUAAACUCUUGGAAUAAUAAAUAAUUGAGUUUGUUACCUUGAUAUACGUUUGGUUGCCACUAAAGAAAUGCAAGAAUAGUAUACUUCGUGUCUAAUGCCUAAAAACAUUAAUGGAUUCCCUUUGUACUUGAUAAUAAUACUUUCUGGAGAAACUUGAAAAUAAAGUGCUUAUUAGUUUACAGAAAAGGAGUAAAAUGAGCACAACUCCAAGUUUCUUAACAAGAUGGUGAUGGAAAAGGAAGGGGCAAAGGAAAAUAAUAAUAAUAAGGGCAUGUUUGGAUAUUCCUAUAGGAUUGGGCUGUCCAUAUAAGCAUAGCUCUAUAUCAACCAAACACCACCCAGCUCAAAUCCAUGGGUCUCUUUUUUUUUUUCCUGCAGCCCAAAGGCUAGGAUCUGGGUUGGGUUUAGACAGAAUCUUAGAAAAUGCAAGCUAGAUGGGCUAACAUGCUCAAUUCCCACAGGAUUUUCAGCCUAAUCUUGUUGGAAUAUCCAAACAUGCCCUGAACUGGUAAUUUCGACGGGAUCUGUGACCAUUUGACUUCCAGUCUCCUCAGUUUAAUCAUAACUUUGCCUGAUACUUUUCAUAUACAUCUGCUUUCAUGAAAGAAAUCUGUGUAUGUAUAGGUUCAAAAAGUUAAUUGCAACAACAGCCUAUCCUUUACUUAUUCUUCAUAUGGAGUUUUUGUACUCGUGAUGUCUUUUGUUCAAAAAAGGAGACGUAGGAGUUUUUCCUUGAUGCUGCAGGUAUGAAAAGUCUGGAAAUGAGCAGUUUGUGACUGAAAUUAGUAAAUGGGUCUUCCAUGAAAGGGGUCAUCUCAAGGUGAACCAUUUUAACAAGUGCUUUCUUGACGAUUUUUUUCUUUCUUGAUCUGAACUCCAAUAUCUGGUGCUAAAAGAUUAAAGAGCUUUUUAUGAUUCAUGGAUGGAUUUUUUCCCAGGCUGUGAAUGUCAGGCACCACAAAGUUGGAGAAACAACGGAACCUGCAAUGUACCGCAUCAAUGAUGACUUGGUAAUUGCUUCCCAAUCAUGCAAGAGUUUAACUAGAUAACAGAUUGAGGAGUAUUCCCCCUUUGGUGUUCUGACUUCUUUUAUCUGGUUGAAGGAUUACUCGGUUGAGAUCUACGAAUGGUCUGGAACAACCUGGAAACCUUAUGUAGCAGAUGAUGUUCAAGUUCAGUUCUACAUGAUGAGUCCUUAUGUUUUGAAGACUUUGUCCCAUGACCAGAAGGUGUGUACGAGGCUUAUAUUAUAUUACAUGUCCUCAUGAAUGAUCUUGCAGGGUUUUUUUUACUGAAUAUUGAUUAUUCCUUGUGACAGGGUCUUUAUUCAACAUCCUUUAAGGUUCCUGAUGUUUAUGGUGUUUUCCAAUUUAAGGUGGAGUACCAAAGGCUUGGAUACACAAGCCUCUCUCUGUCAAAGCAGGUUUGUUAUGUCUGCAUGAUUUUACAUUCCAACAAAAUACUUUCUCAUAUCGGAGCUUUUUAGUCAUUAAUUCUUCACUUAAGCUGCAAUUGUAAAUUACAGCUACUAUAGAUUAAUUAUGAAUUUAUUUGCACUAAUAUUAUAGCAACUACAAAAAGUUGGAUGGCCCUUCUUGCAACACAUAUGCAUCUGCCUGCUAACUAAGGAAAACCAUGUACUCUUCUUGUAGGUUACUAAGGUAUCAAAACUGGUACAGAAAAUGAUAAAUUAAAAUCAUUUUUUUAAUAUAUUUAUGAGCAUAAAGUCUCCAUUUACCACUGUAUAAUUUGUUUUCAACACUUUCUUCACCAUCCUUCGUAAUGGUCUUCACAAGGGGCUUUUGAGAUAAGUGUCCCAUGUAGGGUGAUAAUUCUCUCUUUAACAUUAAGAUGUUUAGUUGCUUUUGCCGGGAAGCAGCCAAAGGUGACCUGUUAAAGUACUUUGCAGCUAGAUAGGAUUGGAUUUAGUGACAAUUGAACAUGCUGAUAGCAUAUUACCUUUUCUAAGUUGGACUUGAGACAAUUGAAUAAUGGUAAAUUGGUUUGUUUUAAGUGGGUUGGGUGCUUUUGUGUUAAUGCAAGUAAUAGUUAUGUUGUAGGAUGAACAUUAUGGGCACUUAAAUCUGCAGACUGUGGGCUAACAAUUUCCACGCUUAAUCUUUGAGUUCCCUUGUGGGGUCGGGGACCUUUAGGUUUAAAUGAUCGGGGACCUUGUUAAUCUCAUCGUAGAUUCUUUUCUGUAUUUAUUGCCGUUUAAUUGAUAGAAAAUCUUUCCCAACAGAGUCUAGAUAUGUUUUACACAACUUGUAUCAGGAAUCACAUAUACUCUCUGUUUACCCAUUCAAGAUGCGACCUAGCAAAGAAAAAGAUGAGGCCCUGUGAAAAAGAAAUGCUCUGUCCUAUGGAGGAUGAUAUUGCUAAACCCUCUGCUUCACUAUAACAAGAUGAAGGUUUAGCGAGAAUUUUUCAGAUUAGUGCAUAAUGACGCCCGUCUUUUCUUCUGAUCCAAUAUUCUGUUUAUCUGUAUUUUGGUUUCUAGCAAGUACAUAGCUUUUACUGUAUAUAGGUAUACAAGUGGAGCUCGAAUAUUUGGUGAAGCUUUAGGAAAGGGACAUUUUUCACGUCAAAGCAUAUGAUUUGAGGGACCUUUGGAUGAUACUUUGCCUUAUUAUUUUUUGUUGUCCAUAGACUCUAUCUUUUUUGUUCUGGUCGACCAAUGCAGUUCGUGGCCAUUUGGUCCUAUUUAGGUGAGACCACCUAUGGACGUCUCAUUGCAUUACUUUUGUUCUUUACUGAAAAGAACGAAGUUGUGGAAACUGGACCACUGGUUGCUUCAAGAAAACAAUGAACUAAGUCACCAAAAUGCAUAAAAUCACUGUGGCAAUCUCCUUUACUUAUUGUCCGAUUAAAGAGGAACUCUUGCGGCAUAUCAAUCGUACUUAUUCUGGUUAAUACCUGUCUAAUUACAUUGAGUUUUCUUUGAACUUUUAACUUGGCAGAUUCCAGUUCGUCCUUUCAGACACAAUGAGUAUGAGAGGUUUAUAACAACUGCCUAUCCAUACUAUGGGGCAUCAUUUUCCACUGUAAGUGUUAUUGUGAAAUACUUGCCCAACAUGUUUUAUAGAAAAUUUUGGAAGUCCACAAUACUACUGCAUGAUGAGCAUUGCUGCAAAAUCUGAAUCACUUUCUAAUUAUGCCCAGUAUGGACAGUCUCUGAGAUUUGAUAUACCAGAUAAGGGACUUCAGUAGUCAGAACCCAAAAAAAAAGUCCUUAACUAUAUCUUAAAGCAUUGUCAUCCUAGAUGUUUUUAAAACCAAUCAUCAGUUUUAAUUUGAUGCAAAUAGAUCCCCUGAAAGGUUUUAUUUUCCUCCUUGCAGAUGGCUGCCUUCUUCAUAUUCUCCAUUGUCUACCUCUAUCACAAGUAGAUUGGUACGAAAUGGGAGGAUAACUUAUUUCGAGUAGAACAUGUAUGAGAGGUCUGCACUGAAGUUUUGUUUUUGGAUUAGAAAGAAAUUGUCUUUCUUCAACCUUACUCAUUGUGACAAUUCUAAAGCACUGGAAAUUUUAGUCAUUUUAGUCAUAUUACACCACUUAUUAUCCUUGUUAGUUCACCGGAAAUUUGCUUUCAGUCGUUACCUACCUACUAAAUAUCAUGGUAAAAGCAGCAAAAGCAGAGCAUUCUCCACAUUAGUUUGCCAAAUCACCAUCAUUCACAAGGCUACCUUGAAGUCAAUUAAGAAACUAUUGGUCACGGUGGUUCAAACAUCAUCAUGAAGGGUAAUUUAGAUUAGCUUGAUUUAUCCUCAAGGUGGUUCAUUUUCAUGUUUGGUUGACACAAAUAAUCUGAGAUUUGUGAAUCAGAACCAAAUUCAUUCGGUAAACAGGUCAAAACUCAAAUCCUUUGUUUCAAGUUGGGUUGUACAUGAGGUGCACGACUAGCAUGUUAAGCUGACUCGAUACAGUUAAACCUGGCCGAACGUAUUUAAAUGGCCAAUUAUUUGAUAAUCCCCAUUUUAUUAACAUUGUUUAUAUAACAUUUUGUAGGUGUAAAUUUACAUGCGACUGCAUAAAAUUUUUAUUGGGUGGUGCUCGGUUAUAAUUUUCAGGUUGAUGUCAUAGUCUUGUCAACCAACUAGCUUAUUAAAUUAGUCAAUCAAAAUUAAGCUGAUCAAGUCGCUAAGCCGGAACCUAAAACAUUUGAUAAAUAUAAGUGGGAUUGACAGGAGUUAUGGUAUGUACCCCAUUAUUAUCAAUUCAAACUUGGUGUUGGAUUUUUGAAUCAGGGUGGCAGGUUAGGGCGAGUGCUGCCUGCCUUUUAACUGAGCCUUGCCUACAUGAGCUCGAUCAAGCUUUUAUGUGGAGUAUGCUUUAAGUUGAAAUUAGGACAAGUAAUAAGCAUAACCAACCUAAAACUUAAUUAGGAUUAAGAGACGGCGAAGGUGGAGAGAGCCAAAUAGAGGACCAAGGAGGAGGAUAUCGGCACCAGCGGACCUCCCAGCAUUGAAGGAUUGGGGACAAAAUUAAAGAUUAUAUAAUUUCAAAUUCCUCAUAAUAUAUGAUUGAUACUUGCGUCUUAUACGCAAUGUGGCACAGAGAUAAUAUCUGUUUGCACCUAUAAACAUGCGGAUUAAUGCUUGCUUUUGCGCGCACCUCGACAUCAGGCUGGGUACCGAGAAAAGGCAAUACUUCAUCAUGAAUGAAUUCGUUACCAUUUCACCCCCUCAUGCAACAGACAUCAUUCAGAUUAGCGCGUGAAACUAUGGUCUAAAAUCCACUUCACAAUUCACUCCUACAGCAAAUGUUGAUAUAUAUAUAUAUAUAUAUAGAGAGAGAGAGAGAGAGAGUACCGUUGAUAACACGAGACACACUAUCUGUAACUAAAAUGCAGCCAUAGAACAGGUGUGCCACUAAAUAUUAUAAGCAGAGUAAGAGGAUAGUGUGCUCGAUGACCAUCGACAAAAAAAAUGACCAUCAGCAAGUCCAAUCUCUUGGAGAUGCUAGAGAGACUGAAUAGAGGAACAACUUUCUUCGUACAACUAGGACUUCUAAUAGCCAUAGAUAGAAGAGAGGCCAGAAUUUUUCUCCCGUGCUCAAACUCUUGGUGGAUAUUUGGGGAGCAACAGUGGAGCCGACUGGGUUACAAGUAAUGAGAUCAACCACGCAUCCUUUAGAAUACUGCUUCUAGUUUUCUUCCGUACCUUAGGAAAAUUCUCUAUUCNNNNNNNNNNNNNNNNNNNNNNNNNNNNNNNNNNNNNNNNNNNNNNNNNNNNNNNNNNNNNNNNNNNNNNNNNNNNNNNNNNNNNNNNNNNNNNNNNNNNNNNNNNNNNNNNNNNNNNNNNNNNNNNNNNNNNNNNNNNNNNNNNNNNNNNNNNNNNNNNNNNNNNNNNNNNNNNAUACCUUCUGCUUCGUUCCAACUCCCAUUAGAACGGACACAAAAACAAAAUCUUUUCAAUAGGGGAUGUUCGCAAGUAAUUUACGGAUCCCAUGACAUUAACGAACAAAUGAUGUAAGCAAAACCCAUACAACAUUUUACCUCCGUCCAAAAUUCUCAGUGGUGAACACCUGAGAAAUACCUGCAGGAUGAUGCACCAACUUCAGGACCAUAUCUAUAUCUUUGCAUUCAGCUACCACGUUUGAGUCCAGCCAAGACUAGUUUGCAUUCAAGUCCACGGAUAAAACAAUGGCGCAUGGCUUCUUCCUUCCAUCAGCUACAAGUGUGGUGUGUACAUAAUGAAGUGGCAGGCCUUGCCCUGUUUAGGCCAGGAAUGCCAUUACAUCCCCCACUUGUUGGCAAUUUCAAUUAUAUCCUCAUAUUCAUGAGAUGUUCUCUAGCAAAAAAAAUGCACAAAUCACAAGCAUUGGGCAGGUUGACUUAGUUUCAGCAUCUGCCAUGAUACAACCAUGGACAUAAACACUUCUUGAUGAUCCCUACUUAUUAAAGUGAGAGAUAAAUUUGGUUAUAUUAAACGCACCUAAAAUAACCAAAUUAAUGAUAGCAGACCUAAAAUGAAGGUAUACACUAUACACACCUUUGAAUAUGAUCAGCAACAUAUAAGAUGCCUGCGACCAUUAUUAUGGAUGUCUAGAGUAUGUCCCAAAAUAAUACCAAUAGAGUCAAUAUGCUAGAAUAUAGUAUUGCCACAUAGAUUAAAAAUCUAGAUUGUUGUUCAUACGGGCAGAUCAAGGAAAAUGCAAGAAUAUAGCAUUGCUGUCUAAAAAUCCAUGCUGAUGUUCAUAGUUUCUGCAAGGAAAUAACAUUUGGAACAAAGCAUAGCAGUGGAAAUAGAAAAGGUAUAACCAGAGAAAAUAAAAUAUCUAACAAAUAAAAGAAAUACUCAAUUGGUUUCCAACAUCUAAAGCAACACAAAAUCAUUACUGAAAUUCGGUAAUCGUGAGAAUCUGGUGACAUGGUUUACAGGGAACAUGGCAAAAUAGAUAGAGGGAUACAAGUGUUUUUUCCAAAAACAAUAAGUAAAAUGUUGGACAUACUUCUAAAUGAAAAUGAAGCAACAAAUAUAACAAACAAUGACUUCCAGCAAAAUUUUGUCUCGAAUUUCUCUUUUCUCACUAGAGACAAAGGAAAAAUGAUGGUAAUGUAUGGCAAGUUACUAAUGAAACACCUCCACAGAGAACAAGAAGGUGCUAUCAGCGAAACCCCCAUCAUCACUUUUGGCCUUCCAUGAAUCAGAAAAACACUUGAGCAAAUUUAUCUGGGAUUAUGAAGGCCCACUAUUAGUUAACUGGAGGGGAGAAGACAAGAAAACAACAUGAGAAAAUACUACAACCAAAAAGUUAUCUUUUACUUGCACACAAGUCUAUCAAAAGUUUUAAUUUGAUAAGAUCCAAAAACCAAACUAACCAACCAGAUGUAUAUCAAAAAGUAAUCCAACAACCGAAAUGUAACAAAGUACUACUCUAACAAUUUAUAUAUAUAGAUCGAAAAACUGCACCAAGAGACAAUUUAGGCCUUAAUUGCAAACUCCAACAAAACAAUCGUCAUCAAGCAUCCCCAAACAUAGAAGAAAAAAUAAAAAUCCAAGAAACGCCUCAAGGAUGGAGUUAAACGCCUCAAGGAUGGAGUUCCCAUCAUCGCUUUCAGCCUUCUGGGUGUCGGAUUAACACCCAGAGAGGUGAUCCGGGAUUGUAAAGGCCCUCCUUUACACAUUGAAUGGGAAUUCCAGUAGAAUAAUAUAGCUAACGAAAAGGAGGAGAAGAGAAGAGAAAGAUUGGAACGUAGGGUUUCGGAGACGGACCUGCCGAACCGAGAGAAAACGGGGGCGCCGGCGAGAAAGGCCAGCCCCAAACCCUACUCCAACCUCGCCCCCUUUAAAAAGCCAGCGAAUGAUAAUAGCCACUCCCUGUUUUUUAUAAAUUACACCUCUCUCUCUCUCAGUGGGGUGGAAAAAAUAACGAAGAUUUGGUUGGACUGACAAACAUAUGGCCCGGUUCGCUCGCGUCAUGGGCUACAAAAUGAAAUGGGCUUAACCCAGCGACCGCCACCGAACUCAACGUUGCAUGAGUUAGCUUAGUCUGAUCCAUUUGAUCUUUUACAGGGCAAUAUAAAUAAAUUUUUUUUGCAUGAAUAUUUUUUAAAUAUUAAAUUUUAUAUAAAUAUUCUUCUAAAAUUGAUAUUUACAUGUAUACUCUCAUAAAAUAUUUGUUUUGUUAUUAUGUCUUUUUUUUUUGCUAGGGUGAUCUAUAUCGGCCUAUAUUAUUUUCUUUAUAUAAAGUGUGUACACAAGUAUAUAUAACCCCUGAGAUGUACCAUUGUGAUAAAACAGAAAAUAUAAAAUCAUUGUUCUCUCUCUUUUUCUCUUCUUUUGCAAAUAUUUUAAUAUAUUUGUUAUAUUGUUCUAUUGUAUUUUGAGAAUAUAUGGAACAAAAGGAGAAAAACUGAUGCGCAAAAAUAAUAACAAUAUCCGUGAUGUUGGCAUUAAUAACAGAAGUUUUUUUUUAUGAAGACUCGCAUAGAGUUUUCUGUUCAUCAUAUAGAUGCCAAUAUUAAUAAUGAUAGGCUUUGCUUGACCAGCAUUAAAUUGCUUAAUUUAUAAUAGAAAUUUGAUUAUUGAAGUCUUUCUUUUAUUAUAAUUUGUUACAUUAUUGUACUAUAUUUUAUAAAAGAAAGAAAAAAAUAUAUUUCAGGUGCGACAGUUUGACCUACGUUAGAGUAUGUAUCGAUUUUUCUUAGUUAUUUUAUAAAGUAUAUCAAUGAUGUUGGAACUCUGAUCAAAUGAAAUUUAGUAUAUUUUCUUUCUUCUAAGACAAUUUGUUCUUUUUAACAUUUGCUAUUUUAGUGUGUUUAAUCAUUUGAUAUAUCGAAAAUAUAACAAAAACCAUGGGAUGGGCCCAGCACAAUGGCCCCAAACGCAGGAAGCCAUCGAGGCAUCCCCACCCCAAUCAAUUAGAACAAGCUUGGGAAUUGCAAAGAAAAGGUCAGUAUGCAUAUUUCUAUAUUUUUUAUUUUGUUUUUAGAAAAAAAAAAGUCAUUUUUUUUUUCAUCUUGCACUAUAACAAAGUAAACUAGAUUACCUGCUGCUGUCUUACAAGAUAGCCCUCCAUCAGAAGCCCUCUUGAUUUCAUCAAUAUUAUAUUGAUCAAUCAGGGCAAUCAAAGAGUAGGAAAAGAUGAUGAAUUCUUGGGUCAUUGUAACUACAAUUUGCAAUUAUUAUACAAGCUAGAGUGACUUCACAUAUGACUGUAAAAGAAUUUGGCCUGUUUGUUUUAGGAAGAAUAAUUGGAUUCUUCAACAUUAAGCCAUAUUUUUACGAAAAACGAAUCCCCCGAUGAUCCUCUUUUUAUUCUUAACCCUUGUAAUUCAAGUUAAAAGAUUAGAAAGUCUACGGGAAUGUCUCUCAAAACUUUUUGACUUCGUGCAAAGAUAAAUAUCAAAGAUAAAUAGAUAAGAAGCUUGUCCAUCAACCUUGGUUUAUCUUCUUCAUUUCGCAUGAUAAAUGCUGAAAAUUUAGUUUCAACUAUUUCAUCCAAUUAAAUACCAACCAUCCUCCGACUACUGCCUUUUUGAUGCUUCCUUGAUUCAGCAACAUGGAUGACAAAAUUCGCAAGUCGGUGCGUGAUGAAAAGUAUAACUCCAAGCUUUCCAUCUACUGAUGGAAAAUUAUUUGUUCAUGAAUUGCUCCUUUCUUCUCGAGUCAAUUUUGUCGGCACUUAUUCUAAAAUCUACUUCAGAAUUAGUUGAUGUCAAACCAGUAAAGAUCCUGUGGCAAAAGAGGAGAAAAUUUUUCCUUCUUCCUUUGGGUGCAAGGAAACUUUUUGAGUCCAAAGUGCAGGGUGUAGGCUAAUUAAUUGCCUCUUACCUUAUGUGGGUGCAAGUGCCCACCUCCAUGCAAGCAUUGUUGGUUGAGGAGCACACAUCAUGCACCAAACGAUAGCAUUUUUGGUUAAAGGGAAGCAGAUGGGCCAAUCCUUCCAUUCGUCUCCAACAACCAACUCAAAAUCAGAACAGGUAAGGAGAUCCGGAAGGAGGAGAGUAGGCCAAGUAUGCAACCAACAACAUGCCAAUAUCCACACAGGACCACCAAGCGCACAACCUCU
RNAcentral lists this long non-coding RNA (22176 nucleotides) under Phoenix dactylifera (date palm). RNAcentral's name for it is "long non-coding RNA (PDAC_LNC001201)". Lineage: Eukaryota; Viridiplantae; Streptophyta; Magnoliopsida; Arecales; Arecaceae. The record is from RNAcentral.